RNAcentral lists this ribosomal RNA (234 nucleotides) under Escherichia coli. Its description in RNAcentral is "partial 23S ribosomal RNA". It matches the Rfam family "Bacterial large subunit ribosomal RNA", at positions 1759 to 1991 of the family's 2925-position model. The record is from RNAcentral. Lineage: Bacteria; Pseudomonadati; Pseudomonadota; Gammaproteobacteria; Enterobacterales; Enterobacteriaceae.
GGUGAAUAGCCCUGAUGAGCCGCAGUGAAUAGGCCCAGGCGACUGUUUAGCAAAAACACAGGUCUCUGCGAAGCCGCAAGGCGAAGUAUAGGGGCUGACGCCUGCCCGGUGCUGGAAGGUUAAGAGGAGAGGUUAGCGCAAGCGAAGCUUUGAAUCGAAGCCCCAGUAACCGGCGGCCGAAACUAUAACGGUCCUAAGGUAGCGAAAUUCCUUGUCGGGUAAGUUCCGACCCGC